Molecule: ribosomal RNA, 460 nt
Filed under: uncultured bacterium
Lineage: Bacteria
Description: partial 16S ribosomal RNA
Rfam family: Bacterial small subunit ribosomal RNA
Source: RNAcentral
CCUACGGGUGGCAGCAGUGAGGAAUAUUGGUCAAUGGGCGAAAGCCUGAACCAGCCAAGUAGCGUGCAGGAUGACGGCCCUACGGGUUGUAAACUGCUUUUAUACGGGAAUAACGCGCCUUACGUGUAGGGCUUUGCAUGUACCGUGUGAAUAAGGACCGGCUAAUUCCGUGCCAGCAGCCGCGGUAAUACGGAAGGUGCGGGCGUUAUCCGGAUUUAUUGGGUUUAAAGGGAGCGUAGGCCGCAUGUCAAGCUUGCUGUUAAAUGGCCGGGCUCAACCCGUGCCUGGCAGUGGGAACUGGGGUGCUUGAGUGCGCGGAAAGCAGGCGGAAUGCGUGGUGUAGCGGUGAAAUGCUUAGAUAUGACGAAGAACCCCGAUUGCGAAGGCAGCUUGCUGGAGCGGAACUGACGCUGAUGCUCGAAAGCGCGGGUAUCGAACAGGAUUAGAUACCCUUGUAGUC